UGGGGGAAUAUUGCACAAUGGAGGAAACUCUGAUGCAGCGAUGCCGCGUGAGGGAAGAAGGUUUUCGGAUUGUAAACCUCUGUCUUAAGGGACGAAAAUGACGGUACCUUAGGAGGAAGCUCCGGCUAACUACGUGCCAGCAGCCGCGGUAAUACGUAGGGAGCAAGCGUUAUCCGGAUUUACUGGGUGUAAAGGGAGCGUAGACGGCAAUGCAAGUCUGAAGUGAAAGGACGGGGCUUAACCCUGUGACUGCUUUGGAAACUGUGUAGCUUGAGUGCCGGAGGGGUAAGCGGAAUUCCUAGUGUAGCGGUGAAAUGCGUAGAUAUUAGGAGGAACACCAGUGGCGAAGGCGGCUUUACUGGACGUAGUAAC
This 372-nucleotide ribosomal RNA is filed under the name uncultured Blautia sp. RNAcentral's name for it is "bacterial SSU rRNA". It matches the Rfam family "Bacterial small subunit ribosomal RNA", at positions 354 to 740 of the family's 1533-position model. The record is from RNAcentral. Lineage: Bacteria; Bacillati; Bacillota; Clostridia; Lachnospirales; Lachnospiraceae.